Long non-coding RNA from Monodelphis domestica (gray short-tailed opossum), 644 nucleotides. RefSeq lists it as uncharacterized. The record is from RefSeq and is a predicted model, not a curated record. NCBI's taxonomy places the organism in Eukaryota, Metazoa, Chordata, Mammalia, Didelphimorphia, Didelphidae.
UAGCAAGCCACUUGAUUGGGCAGAAUCCUUUUCCUCCCCUUCCCCUCCCUCUUCCUUACCCCCUGCUGUCUGAUGUUUUCUCUGAAUAAAGCCACUUUUCUCUGCCAGCAUCUUAUCAAGUCUCCUGUCUGCUCAUUAGAGUGAUUUCUCAGGAUGACUACACCUAAGCCCUGGUUUUGCUGGUUUUCCCUUCUCCUCCUGGCUUGCCUGCAGGUCCAGCUGGUGUCAGCAGGCAUGGGACCUAAAGAGCAUGAACUUCCUCUGUGGCCAGGCAAGAACGCCAGCCCCAUUGCACUCAAGCACUACUGGGAUGUAAUGAACCAGUUUUUGGACGAAGAAGAAAGGCUGGAAGCCCAAAACACAAAGAAGAAACCAGUGAGUCAGAAGUCCAAAACUCCCUUGCCCAACAAGAACUCCAGAAAGACCUGACCCCACCAAACCUCUGGUGUCCAUUCUUUCCUCUCAUAAGAAGUUCCAACACAGAGGCAAGUGGCCCUCCAAGUUUCAUGGGUGGCACCCAACCAUGCUAUCCACCCUCUUCCCCACAAGGUCACAACUUCCCACCAGCCCCAUCUCUGACAACACUCAUGAGAACAUCUGAUUCUGUGACUAGAAAGUGACACAAUAAAAUGGAAUCUCUGGCA